UGGGGAAUAUUGGGCAAUGGACGAAAGUCUGACCCAGCUAUGCCGCGUGAAUGAUGAAGGCCUUAGGGUUGUAAAGUUCUUUUACCGGGGAAGAUAAUGACGGUACCCGGAGAAAAAGCUCCGGCUAACUUCGUGCCAGCAGCCGCGGUAAUACGAAGGGAGCAAGCGUUGCUCGGAUUUAUUGGGCGUAAAGGGUGUGUAGGUGGUUUGAUAAGUUAGAUGUGAAAGCCCAGGGCUUAACCCUGGAAUUGCAUUUAAGACUGUUAGACUUGAAGAUUGGAGAGGUAAGCAGAAUUCCCAGUGUAGAGGUGAAAUUCGUAGAUAUUGGGAAGAAUACCAAUGGCGUAGGCAGCUUACUGGCCAAAUCUUGACACUGAGGCACGAAAGCGUGGGGAGCAAACAG
Molecule: ribosomal RNA, 403 nt
Filed under: uncultured bacterium
Lineage: Bacteria
Description: bacterial SSU rRNA
Rfam family: Bacterial small subunit ribosomal RNA
Source: RNAcentral